UUCCGGUUGAUCCUGCCGGAGGCUACCGCUAUUGGAGUUAGAUUAAGCCAUGCGAGUCUAGAGGCCUAGCCUCGGCGUACCGCUCAGUAACACGUGGGUAACCUACCCUAUGCUGGGGGAUAAGCUCGGGAAACUGAGAAUAAUACCCCAUAGUCCACUACGCCUGGAACGGUGAGUGGAUCAAAGCUCCGGCGGCAUAGGAUGGGCCUGCGGCGUAUCAGGUUGUAGGGGGUGUAAUGUACCCUCUAGCCAUCUACGCGUACGGGUGUUGGGAGACAUUGCCCGGAGAUGGAUUCUGAGACACGAAUCCAGACCCUACGGGGUGCAGCAGGCGCGAAAACUUGGCAAUGCGAGAAAUCGUGACCAGGGAACUCCAAGUGGCAGGGGUAAGACCCUGUCUUUUUCCGACUCUAAAUAGGUCGGCGAAUAAGGGGUGGGUAAGGACGGUGCCAGCCGCCGCGGUAAUACCGGCGCCUCAAGUGGUAGUCGCCUUUAUUGGGCCUAAAACGUCCGUAGCCGGUCUGGUACAUUCGUGGGUAAAUCAACUCGCUCAACGAGUUGAAUUCUGCGAGGACGGCCAGACUUGGGACCGGGAGAGGUGUGGGGUACUCUCAGGGUAGGGGUAAAAUCCUGUCAUCCUGAGAGGACCACCUGUUGCGAAGGCUCCACACUAGAACGGAUCCGACGGUCAGGGACGAAGCCUAGGGGCACGAACCGGAUUAGAUACCCGGGUAGUCCUAGGUGUAAACGCUGUGGACUUGAUGUUGGGGACGCUCCGAGCGUUCUCAGUGUCGAAGCGAAGGUGAUAAGUCCACUGCCUGGGGAGUACGGUCGCAAGGCUGAAACUUAAAGGAAUUGGCGGGGGAGCACCGCAACCUGAGGAUUGUGCGGUUUAAUUGGAUUCAACGCCGGA
This 913-nucleotide ribosomal RNA is filed under the name uncultured archaeon. Its description in RNAcentral is "bacterial SSU rRNA". It matches the Rfam family "Archaeal small subunit ribosomal RNA", at positions 1 to 922 of the family's 1478-position model. The record is from RNAcentral.